This 85-nucleotide transfer RNA is filed under the name Felis catus (domestic cat). It matches the Rfam family "tRNA". Rfam says of the family: Transfer RNA (tRNA) molecules are approximately 80 nucleotides in length. The record is from Rfam by way of RNAcentral. Lineage: Eukaryota; Metazoa; Chordata; Mammalia; Carnivora; Felidae.
GUCUGGGUGGCUCAGUCGGUUGAGCAUCCGACUUCGGUUCAGGUCAUGAUCUCACAGUUUGUGGGUUCGAGCCCCGCAUCAGGCU